GUGAGUGAUGAAGGCUUUCGGGUCGUAAAACUCUGUUGUUAGGGAAGAACAAGUGCUAGUUGAAUAAGCUGGCACCUUGACGGUACCUAACCAGAAAGCCACGGCUAACUACGUGCCAGCAGCCGCGGUAAUACGUAGGUGGCAAGCGUUAUCCGGAAUUAUUGGGCGUAAAGCGCGCGCAGGUGGUUUCUUAAGUCUGAUGUGAAAGCCCACGGCUCAACCGUGGAGGGUCAUUGGAAACUGGGAGACUUGAGUGCAGAAGAGGAAAGUGGAAUUCCAUGUGUAGCGGUGAAAUGCGUAGAGAUAUGGAGGAACACCAGUGGCGAAGGCGACUUUCUGGUCUGUAACUGACACUGAGGCGCGAAAGCGUGGGGAGCAAACAGGAUUAGAUACCCUGGUAGUCCACGCCGUAAACGAUGAGUGCUAAGUGUUAGAGGGUUUCCGCCCUUUAGUG
This 454-nucleotide ribosomal RNA is filed under the name uncultured bacterium. RNAcentral's name for it is "bacterial SSU rRNA". It matches the Rfam family "Bacterial small subunit ribosomal RNA", at positions 401 to 845 of the family's 1533-position model. The record is from RNAcentral.